This 404-nucleotide ribosomal RNA is filed under the name uncultured bacterium. RNAcentral's name for it is "bacterial SSU rRNA". It matches the Rfam family "Bacterial small subunit ribosomal RNA", at positions 30 to 436 of the family's 1533-position model. The record is from RNAcentral.
AUUGAACGCUGGCGGCAUGCUUUACACAUGCAAGUCGAACGGUAACAGGCCUUCGGGCGCUGACGAGUGGCGAACGGGUGAGUAAUGCAUCGGAACGUGCCCAGAGGUGGGGGAUAACGCAGCGAAAGCUGUGCUAAUACCGCAUAUUAUCUGAGGAUGAAAGCGGGGGACUAAGCAGCAAUGUUUGGCCUCGCGCCUUUGGAGCGGCCGAUGUCAGAUUAGGUAGUUGGUGGGGUAAAGGCUCACCAAGCCGACGAUCUGUAGCUGGUCUGAGAGGACGACCAGCCACACUGGGACUGAGACACGGCCCAGACUCCUACGGGAGGCAGCAGUGGGGAAUUUUGGACAAUGGCGCAAGCCUGAUCCAGCAAUGCCGCUGCNGGAGAGCUCGGUGUAACUGCUUU